GAGUGAAGCACAUCCAUUCAGUCCCAAGGCCACUGUAAGCUACUGGCAGCAGAAAUGAUUUGCUAGAAAGAUAUCACUUGCAUUGGAGCUCUUGUUAACUGAAAAGGCCAUGGUGCUCCAAACUCAGGCCCGAGCAUGCUGCAGGGACGUUACCAUAGUAACUGAGCUUUGAGCUCACAGGGGUAUAAACCUGUUCCAGCAUGACAGUGCCCACGUGCACAAAGUGAGGUCCAUGAAGACAUGGUUUUCCAAGGUUGGAGUGGAAAACCUCAAGUAGUCUGCACAGAGUCCUGACCUCAACCCCACUGAACACCUUUGGGAUUAACUGGAACAUCAACUGCACCCCAGGCCUCCUCAAUAAACAUCAGUGCCUGACCACACUAAUGUACUAAUAAUCCCCACAGCCAUGAUCCAAAGCUUAUCCUAAAGCCUUCACAGAAGAGUAGAGGUUAUUAUUACAGCAAAGGGGAAAUGAGAUGUUUAAAAAGCACAUAUGAAUGUGAUGA
Long non-coding RNA from Ictalurus punctatus (channel catfish), 506 nucleotides. RefSeq lists it as uncharacterized. Lineage: Eukaryota; Metazoa; Chordata; Actinopteri; Siluriformes; Ictaluridae. The record is from RefSeq and is a predicted model, not a curated record. The transcript is spliced from 3 exons.